GAUAAAGCAGGGCCCUGUUGUCUCUUGUGAACAUGACUCUCUAAAUUUUCAGGGAAUUACAUGCAUUGUUAUUGGGUGAACCUCUGUAGUUUUGUGGCUGAAGGUUCGUAAAUGAUGGCACAUUU
Molecule: small nucleolar RNA, 125 nt
Organism: Pistacia vera
Lineage: Eukaryota; Viridiplantae; Streptophyta; Magnoliopsida; Sapindales; Anacardiaceae
Product: small nucleolar RNA snoR74
Exons: 1
Source: RefSeq, a predicted model, not a curated record